Molecule: long non-coding RNA, 302 nt
Organism: Tupaia belangeri chinensis (Chinese tree shrew)
Lineage: Eukaryota; Metazoa; Chordata; Mammalia; Scandentia; Tupaiidae
Exons: 4
Source: RefSeq, a predicted model, not a curated record
CCAUCUGCUGGUCCCAGCUAAUUUUACCUUUUUAAAUUUAUCUAUACAGUUGAAAUCACUUGCUGAGAGUCAAGAGAUCCAUGUUCUGGCCAUAAUUAUGUCAACAAUUCACCAAGCAACUUGAGAUAAGACAGAAAUGAAAAGGGAUAGAAGAGCUACUCCAGGGAAACUCAUUGAGAACAAGAAGGCUGACAACAGUGGACGAAACAGAAGCAUAUAUAAAAUUCACAGCCAGAUGCUGCCCUGAUUUAUUUCCCUGCAAGGAACUGCUGAGAUCAGGACAGGAGACCAGGCUAGAAAUC